UCUCAGGGACUUGGAAUUUGUAAUGUGUAGUUGGAUUCUAGAUGGGAUUUGUAGAUGGACACAGGAUACGUGGAGCCCAUAAGUUAUCCUGCAGCCCUUUCACUUUCAUCCUAACUUUCUUUUAGUUGCAGAAGGAUAAAUCCAGGGCAGAGCCCCCCAUUCUGGGUGAGGGGAUUCCCCUGUGAAGGUCAGUCACUGUUUGUCUCUGCAGAGGAAGCAUAAAUUGUGGCUGCUGCAGCUCUGCUCUUUGUCUUUAUUUUUAGGAAGUCAAGGCAGAGAGCAGCUGUCAAGGCUGAGUGGGCAAGAUGGACUGCUUGCCAUCUAUCCUAGCCCAGCAUGCCCAUGCCAGGUGCUGUCGCUGCCCUAGGCAUGCCGGGGAAGAGAGGAGGGCAGGUGACUCGGAGUUUAGGCGGGCUGAUUCCUAGGUGAGCGUUAUGCAGCAGCAUGCUAAGUGUGUACAUUUUCUUUUUGCAGGUAUCUUCCAGGCGGCCUCUGGAGUCAAAUCAAGACUUGAGGUACCCUGGGCAGGCUUGUAGCCACAGCUUGGAAGCGGCAGCACCGAAGCGCACACAUUGAGAACGUCUCAACGUCCACGUCCGACCGAGGAUGGAUUUUGUCCGCUUGUCUUCCAAAAGCUAAGUGUCGGGGCCAGUGGUUGGGAGAAGGGGAAAAGCCUUUACUAUCACAGGAGGCAAUCUGAUGUCAGCUUAGCGGAGAGGUCUGUAGUGGGACAGGCUCCCUGGAAGUAAAGGGAGAGGGUUUCUCCUCAGCCUCACCAGAGCCUUUGCCGGGCAGGGCAGUUCCUACCCAUCUCCACAUUCUCGUGAACUUUGCGUCAUCUGCCUUCCUCGACUUGAAGUCGUCACGGC
Melospiza georgiana is the source of this 869-nucleotide long non-coding RNA. RefSeq lists it as uncharacterized. The record is from RefSeq and is a predicted model, not a curated record. Lineage: Eukaryota; Metazoa; Chordata; Aves; Passeriformes; Passerellidae. The transcript has 4 exons.